AGAACGAACGCUGGCGGCAGGCUUAACACAUGCAAGUCGAACGGUUGUAGCAAUACAGCAGUGGCGCACGGGUGAGUAACGCGUGGGAAUGUACCCUGGAGUUCGGAAUAACAGCGGGAAACUGCUGCUAAUACCGGAUAUUCUCUACGGAGCAAAGAUUUAUCGCUCCAGGAUCAGCCCGCGUCAGAUUAGCUAGUUGGUGAGGUAAUGGCUCACCAAGGCUCCGAUCUGUAGCUGGUCUGAGAGGACGACCAGCCACACUGGAACUGAGACACGGUCCAGACUCCUACGGAGGCAGCAGUGGGGAAUAUUGGACAAUGGGCGAAAGCCUGAUCCAGCCAUGCCGCGUGAAUGAUGAAGGCCUUAGGGUUGUAAAGUUCUUUUGCCAGGGAAGAUAAUGACGGUACCUGGAGAAUAAGCACCGGCUAACUUCGCGCCAGCAGCCGCGGUAA
RNAcentral lists this ribosomal RNA (452 nucleotides) under uncultured bacterium. RNAcentral's name for it is "SSU rRNA". It matches the Rfam family "Bacterial small subunit ribosomal RNA", at positions 26 to 523 of the family's 1533-position model. The record is from RNAcentral.